AACGCGAAGAACCUUACCUACCCUUGACAUGUCUAGAAUUUUGCAGAGAUGUGGAAGUGCUCGAAAGAGAACUAGAACACAGGUGCUGCAUGGCCGUCGUCAGCUCGUGUCGUGAGAUGUUGGGUUAAGUCCCGCAACGAGCGCAACCCUUGUCAUUAGUUGCUACGAAAGGGCACUCUAAUGAGACUGCCGGUGACAAACCGGAGGAAGGUGGGGAUGACGUCAGGUCCUCAUGGCCCUUAUGGGUAGGGCUACACACGUCAUACAAUGGCCGGUACAGAGGGUCGCCAACCCGCGAGGGGGAGCCAAUCCCAGAAAACCGGUCGUAGUCCGGAUCGCAGUCUGCAACUCGACUGCGUGAAGUCGGAAUCGCUAGUAAUCGCGGAUCAGCUUGCCGCGGUGAAUACGUUCCCGGGCCUUGUACACACCGAUAGC
RNAcentral lists this ribosomal RNA (435 nucleotides) under uncultured bacterium. RNAcentral's name for it is "bacterial SSU rRNA". It matches the Rfam family "Bacterial small subunit ribosomal RNA", at positions 958 to 1397 of the family's 1533-position model. The record is from RNAcentral.